AUGGCCACAUCACAUUGAAACAUUGGUUCCCAUAUGAUCACCGAAGUUAAGCAAUGUCAAGCCUAGCCAGUAUCUAGAUGGGUGACCAUUUAGAAAUACCAGGUGUUGUAAG
Acanthosepion pharaonis is the source of this 112-nucleotide non-coding RNA. The record is from the annotation of a GenBank genome assembly. Lineage: Eukaryota; Metazoa; Mollusca; Cephalopoda; Sepiida; Sepiidae.